ACUCUAAGCGGUGGAUCACUCGGCUCAUGGGUCGAUGAAGAACGCAGCAAACUGUGCGUCAUCGUGUGAACUGCAGGACACAUGAACAUCGACAUUUUGAACGCAUAUCGCAGUCCAUGCUGUUAUGUACUUUAAUUAAUUUUGAAGUGCUGCUUGGACUACAUAUGGUUGAGGGUUGUAAGACUAUGCUAAUAAAGUUGUUUACUAUUUUGUUUUUUAAACAUUAUAGUAUGCAUAUGGUAUAUUAUUGGAUAUAUUUUAUAUAUUCAUAAUAUAAAAAAAUAAAAGCAAUUAUCUCACAUAAUAACAAAAAUUUGUAUGUGAAAAAUGAAGAUAUACAAUUCUUUCUUUUUUCAAUUCAAAUAAUACUGAGAAAUGUCUAGCAUAAAAAAUAUGAAAUAUUUUUCAUCUGGAAUUGUCUCUUAUUUAAAGAUGCGAAAAUUGAAAAUACAUCUAAUAUAUUGUUCUUCAUAAAAUAAAGAUAAUGUAAAUAAUAUUAUUGCUUUAUACAACCUCAACUCAUAUGGGACUACCCCCUGAAUUUAAGCAUAUUAAUUAGGGGAGGAAAAGAAACUAACAAGGAUUUUCUUAGUAGCGGCGAGCGAAAAGAAAUCAGUUCAGCACUAAGUCACUUUGUCUAUAUGGCAAAUGUGAGAUGCAGUGUAUGGAGCGUCAAUAUUCUAGUAUGAGAAAUUAACGAUUUAAGUCCUUCUUAAAUGAGGCCAUUUACCCAUAGAGGGUGCCAGGCCCGUAUAACGUUAAUGAUUACUAGAUGAUGUUUCCAAAGAGUCGUGUUGCUUGAUAGUGCAGCACUAAGUGGGUGGUAAACUCCAUCUAAAACUAAAUAUAACCAUGAGACCGAUAGUAAACAAGUACCGUGAGGGAAAGUUGAAAAGAACUCUGAAUAGAGAGUUAAAUAGUACGUGAAACUGCUUAGAGGUUAAGCCCGAUGAACCUGAAUAUCCGUUAUGGAAAAUUCAUCAUUAAAGUUAUAAUAUUUAAACAAUAUUAUACAAAUAAUGUGCAUUUUUUCCAUAUAAGGACAUUGUAAUCUAUUAACAUAUUAAAUUUAUCAUAAAAUAUGGCUUAUAGUUUAUUCAAAUUAUUAUGCUUGCAUUUUAACAUAGAAUAUAAAUGUCAUUAAUUUGAUAAAGUGUUGAUAGACUAAUAAGAAUACAGUGCGUUAAUUUUUCGGAAUUAUAUAAUGGCAUAAUUAUCAUUGAUUUUUGUGUUUAUUAUAAGCACUUGUAUGAUUAACAAUGCGAAAGAUUCAGGAUACCUUCGGGACCCGUCUUGAAACACGGACCAAGGAGUCUAACAUAUGUGCAAGUUAUUGGGAUAUAAACCUAAUAGCGUAAUUAACUUGACUAAUAAUGGGAUUAGUUUUUUAACUAUUUUAUAGCUAAUUAACACAAUCCCGGGGCGUUCUAUAUAGUUAUGUAUAAUAAUAUUUAUAUUAUUUAUGCCUCUAACUGGAACGUACCUUGAGCAGAUAUGCUGUGACCCGAAAGAUGGUGAACUAUACUUGAUCAGGUUGAAGUCAGGGGAAACCCUGAUGGAAGACCGAAACAGUUCUGACGUGCAAAUCGAUUGUCAGAAUUGAGUAUAGGGGCGAAAGACCAAUCGAACCAUCUAGUAGCUGGUUCCUUCCGAAGUUUCCCUCAGGAUAGCUGGUGCAUUUUAAUGUUAUAUAAAAUAAUCUUAUCUGGUAAAGCGAAUGAUUAGAGGCCUUAGGGUCGAAACGAUCUUAACCUAUUCUCAAACUUUAAAUGGGUAAGAACCUUAACUUUCUUGAUAUGAAGUUUAAGGUUAUGAUAUAUUGUGCCCAGUGGGCCACUUUGGUAAGCAGAACUGGCGCUGUGGGAUGAACCAAACGUAAUGUUACGGUGCCCAAAUUAACAACUCAUGCAGAAACCAUGAAAGGCGUUGGUUGCUUAAAACAGCAGGACGGUGAUCAUGGAAGUCGAAAUCCGCUAAGGAGUGUGUAACAACUCACCUGCCGAAGCAACUAGCCCUUAAAUGGAUGGCGCUUAAGUUGUAUACCUAUACAUUACCGCUAAAGUAGAUGAUUUAUAUUACUUGUAAUAUAAAUUUUGAAACUUUAGUGAGUAGGAAGGUACAAUGGUAUGCGUAGAAGUGUUUGGCGUAAGCCUGCAUGGAGCUGCUAUUGGUACAGAUCUUGGUGGUAGUAGCAAAUAAUCGAAUGAGACCUUGGAGGACUGAAGUGGAGAAGGGUUUCGUGUGAACAGUGGUUGAUCACGAGUUAGUCGGUCCUAAGUUCAAGGCGAAAGCCGAAAAUUUUCAAGUAAAAAUAAAAUUUACUAUAUGUAAAAAUUAUAUACUUGAAUAAUUUGAACGAAAGGGAAUACGGUUCCAAUUCCGUAACCUGUUGAGUAUCCGUUUGUUAUUAAAUAUGGGCCUCGUGCUCAUCCUGGCAACAGGAACGACCAUAAAGAAGCCGUCGAGAGAUAUCGGAAGAGUUUUCUUUUCUGUUUUAUAGUCGUACUACCAUGGAAGUCUUUCGCAGAGAGAUAUGGUAGAUGGGCUAGAAGAGCAUGACAUAUACUGUUGUGUCGAUAUUUUCU
Molecule: ribosomal RNA, 2585 nt
Filed under: Drosophila ananassae
Lineage: Eukaryota; Metazoa; Arthropoda; Insecta; Diptera; Drosophilidae
Description: eukaryotic LSU rRNA
Rfam family: Eukaryotic large subunit ribosomal RNA (bases 510-2585)
Source: RNAcentral